This is a long non-coding RNA of Lemur catta (Ring-tailed lemur), 353 nucleotides long. RefSeq lists it as uncharacterized. The record is from RefSeq and is a predicted model, not a curated record. Lineage: Eukaryota; Metazoa; Chordata; Mammalia; Primates; Lemuridae. The transcript has 3 exons.
CUGUCGAGAGCCGCGUAAACCUUGUGACAGCCCUUCAGCCUCUAAGGUAGAGAGUGGGACUGCAAACAGAGCUGGCCCCAGUGGUAGACCUCUUUUUGUCUUGGAUUCCCAGGAUGUUCCAUAAUGAAGCUUAAACCUAAUUACUGCUUCUCAGAGAUCUAGGAAAAACUUAGAAGCAAAAUAUUGUCCUGUGACAACAGAUAAUGGAAUCGUGUUUGAGGACAAGGUUUGUGAUCAUCCAAACGAAGAUGUGUUUGAAUCCUUUCCUACAUCAGCCAAAGUCCAGGGCUUUUCACAUCCUUCAUUUCGACCACCUGAGGCUCCUCUGAAACCUUCCUUUCGGUCAUUGGAAA